GUGGGGAAUAUUCCGCAAUGGACGAAAGUCUGACGGAGCAACGCCGCGUGAGUGAUGAAGGUUUUCGGACUGUAAAGCUCUGUUGUUUAGGACGAAAGUGCCUGUUGCAAAUAGUUACAGGUAUUGACGGUACUGAACGAGGAAGCCACGGCUAACUACGUGCCAGCAGCCGCGGUAAUACGUAGGUGGCAAGCGUUGUCCGGAAUUAUUGGGCGUAAAGAGCAUGUAGGCGGGAAUCUAAGUCUGUUGUGAAAAUGCGGGGCUCAACCCCGUAUUGCGCUGGAAACUGGGUUUCUUGAGUGCAGGAGAGGAAAGGGGAAUUCCCAGUGUAGCGGUGAAAUGCGUAGAUAUUGGGAGGAACACCAGUGGCGAAGGCGCCUUUCUGGACUGUGUCUGACGCUGAGAUGCGAAAGCCAGGGUAGCGAACGGGAUUAGAAACCCCAGUAGUCC
RNAcentral lists this ribosomal RNA (450 nucleotides) under uncultured bacterium. RNAcentral's name for it is "partial 16S ribosomal RNA". It matches the Rfam family "Bacterial small subunit ribosomal RNA", at positions 354 to 796 of the family's 1533-position model. The record is from RNAcentral.